GACGAACGCUGGCGGCGUGCCUAAUACAUGCAAGUCGAACGCAGUGGGGACGGGUGAGUAACACGUGGGUAACCUCCCAUCAGAGGGGAUAACACUUGGAAACAGGCGCUUAACCGAUACUUAAGGAUUGACCCUCGGGGCAUUAGCUAGUUGGUGAGGUAACGGCUCACCAAGGCCACGAUGCAUAGCCGACCUGAGAGGGUGAUCGGCCACACUGGGACUGAGACACGGCCCAGACUCCUACGGGAGGCAGCAGUAGGGAAUCUUCGGCAAUGGACGAAAGUCUGACCGAGCAACGCCGCGUGAAUGAAGAAGGUUUUCGGAUCGUAAAACUCUGUUGUUAGAGAAGCGGUAUCUAAAGAGAAAGCCACGGCUAACUACGUGCCAGCAGCCGCGGUAAUUG
Molecule: ribosomal RNA, 403 nt
Filed under: uncultured bacterium
Lineage: Bacteria
Description: partial 16S ribosomal RNA
Rfam family: Bacterial small subunit ribosomal RNA
Source: RNAcentral